UACGUAGGGUGCAAGCGUUAAUCGGAAUUACUGGGCGUAAAGAGUGCGUAGGCGGCUAUGUAAGACAGAUGUGAAAUCCCUGGGCUUAACCUAGGAACUGCAUCUCAUACUGCGUAGCUAGAGUAUUGUAGAGGGUAGUGGAAUUUCCGGUGUAGCGGUGAAAUGCGUAGAGAUCGGAAGGAACACCAGUGGCGAAGGCGGCUACCUGGACAAAUACUGACACUGAUGCGCGAGAGCGUGGGGAGCAAACAGG
This 253-nucleotide ribosomal RNA is filed under the name uncultured bacterium. RNAcentral's name for it is "partial 16S ribosomal RNA". It matches the Rfam family "Bacterial small subunit ribosomal RNA", at positions 524 to 776 of the family's 1533-position model. The record is from RNAcentral.